GUGCAUUGUAGUUGCAUUGCAUGUGUCUUUGAUGUUGUGCAAUGUAUCUGGAAUGCAAUA
RNAcentral lists this microRNA precursor (60 nucleotides) under Callorhinchus milii (elephant shark). Its description in RNAcentral is "Cmi-Mir-33-P1_pre stem-loop". The record is from RNAcentral. Lineage: Eukaryota; Metazoa; Chordata; Chondrichthyes; Chimaeriformes; Callorhinchidae.